AUCGCGCCACAACGGCUUCCUGACGUGGCGUCUUGGUAUUCAUUUGGAGCA
Sulfitobacter sp. EhC04 is the source of this 51-nucleotide non-coding RNA. The record is from Rfam. Lineage: Bacteria; Pseudomonadati; Pseudomonadota; Alphaproteobacteria; Rhodobacterales; Roseobacteraceae.